Molecule: ribosomal RNA, 227 nt
Filed under: uncultured bacterium
Lineage: Bacteria
Description: partial 16S ribosomal RNA
Rfam family: Bacterial small subunit ribosomal RNA
Source: RNAcentral
UGAGCAAUCUGCCCUUCUCAUCGGAAUAAGCGUUGGAAACGAUGUCUAAUGCCGAAUACGACCUCCUUUCGCAUGAUCGGAGGUGGAAAGCUCCGGCGGAGAAGGAUGAGCUCGCGGCCUAUCAGCUAGUUGGUGUGGGUAAUGGCCCACCAAGGCGACGACGGGUAGCCGGCCUGAGAGGGUGACCGGCCACACUGGGACUGAGACACGGCCCAGACUCCUAGGAG